AGAAGAAGAAAAUAUAUAUAUAUAUAUAUUUGGACGGAGAUGGCGCUAAUAUGGGAACAGAUCUCGCCCUCCAAGUUUCCAAUGGAGGGCAGGACGCGACGUCGUCGAGUAAACCAGGAGAAAGAUGGCGAAUGGACGAGACGAAAAGUGUGAACGUUGGACAGAGGAGGUUCGUUGCAGAUGAAGGCUUGUUAAAUGUGCUUCAUCGUUAUUGAUUGACUUGGUCUUUCUGUUUUUCUAUUACUUCUGUAUGUGAGGGAGAUUAUCGUUGAGAAUAUAUACUUUAGUCACUUGAAUUGUAUCAGAGUGAUGAAUAAAUUGACUGGUUCUUCUUGUUUUA
Molecule: long non-coding RNA, 340 nt
Organism: Momordica charantia (bitter melon)
Lineage: Eukaryota; Viridiplantae; Streptophyta; Magnoliopsida; Cucurbitales; Cucurbitaceae
Source: RefSeq, a predicted model, not a curated record